RNAcentral lists this unclassified non-coding RNA (153 nucleotides) under uncultured fungus. RNAcentral describes it as "sequence contains ITS1, 5.8S rRNA gene". The record is from RNAcentral. Lineage: Eukaryota; Fungi.
CCGAGUGAGGGUGCGCAAGCGCCCGACCUCCCAACCCCAUGUCCGACGUUAUCGAAUUGCCUCGGGGGGCGACCCGGCCCCGGCCGGCGACCCCCCGGCGUAUCACUUCAAAACACUGCAUCCCUGCGUCGGAGUAUUGAAGCAAAUCAAUUA